RNAcentral lists this ribosomal RNA (426 nucleotides) under uncultured bacterium. RNAcentral's name for it is "partial 16S ribosomal RNA". It matches the Rfam family "Bacterial small subunit ribosomal RNA", at positions 354 to 796 of the family's 1533-position model. The record is from RNAcentral.
GUGAGGAAUUUUCCGCAAUGGGCGAAAGCCUGACGGAGCAAUGCCGCGUGAAGGAUGAAGGCCUAUGGGUUGUAAACUUCUUUUCUCAGAACAGAAUUAUGACGGUAUCUGAGGAAUAAGCAUCGGCUAACUCUGUGCCAGCAGCCGCGGUAAGACAGAGGAUGCAAGCGUUAUCCGGAAUGAUUGGGCGUAAAGCGUCUGUAGGUUGUUUAAAAAGUAUUCUGUCAAAGAUUAGGGCUUAACCCUAGAUAGGCAGAAUAAACUUUUAAGCUAGAGUUUGGUAGAGGCAGAGGGAAUUCCCGGUGGAGCGGUGAAAUGCGUAGAUAUCGGGAGGAACACCAAAGGCGAAGGCACUCUGCUGGGCCAAUACUAACACUGAGAGACGAAAGCGAGGGGAGCAAAUGGGAUUAGAUACCCGUGUAGUCC